GUUUCUCGGCAUGGCAACAGUUGUGGAUGCUGCCUGCGUGGCCAGGGCUCCUAGUAGCACUGACCUGCAAGGUAGGAGUUUUGGUUCUUAGACUUGAGACCUUGGGCAAGUCACUUUACCAUUCUGAGCCUCAGUUUCCUCAUCUGUGAAAUGAAGAGGCUGGAUGAGGCUGGAGGGUUCCUAAGGUCCUUUCCUGACCAAAACCCUAGUGCUUCUCGGCUCUCCUCCAGUCCCGUUACCGAGUGACAGGGAGGGGAGCAAGGGCCAGGCCAGGCCUGGGGGUGGCAGGGGAGCCAGCUGUUCCCCCCCAAGGGCACACAGCCUCCAUCCAGGCCCUCUGCGAGUUCCAUGUGCGGCAGACACGCGCUCACACUUCGCAGCCGGAGGAGCAGGCAGGAAGCGCCGCCCCCCGGCCGCCCCGGCCGCCCACCCUCAACCUUCCUCCACGUUACCUUGGGCGUGUAGGCUUCCCGUGGACCUGCCCGCGCCGCCCGCUCGGCUCUCAGCUGUCAAGCAGCCGCCUGCUCCGCCCGACUCUUUCCGCUCCGAGCCGCGCGGGCUGGACCAGCCCCUCAGCGGAGCUGAACGGGAAGCGGCGCCCCCUGGACGCCCUCCGGGACGUGCGCGCGCCAAGCGGUGGGGUCCGGGCCUGCAGGCGCGACCUGAGGCCGCCAGGGAGGCUGGGUGGCGAGGGCGGGGCGGCUGCCGACUUAGCCGGCCUGACUGGUCGGGCUUCCGGGGUCCCGCUGCUCCCUAGGCCCCUUGCCCCGAUUCAGGCUCCCAAGGUGGGGCAUCAGUCCGGCCCUCGCUGGCUCACUGGAGAGGUGGUGUCUGGGAGUGCACCCCCGAAAACCCGGCAGCAGCCCGGCGUCACUCCGGCUGUUACCUCUGGGAGCAGAAACUAAAGGGGAUCCUUAUUCUUUAUACUUUUCUGACUCUUCUAUAUAUUCUACUGUGGGCAUGAAUCGUUAAAAACAAAACAAAACACCAAAAACCCAAUACGUAUUUGUUAAUAAAGCACUGAGUAAAUCUUCAAAGGCCUCCCGAGGUGCUCCGGCUGCAGGAUAACCCCUCAGCUUAGCGCACAAGGCAAGGCCCACCCUGCCCUCUCCGGCCACAACCUAAUUUUCCAGCCUCACCCUCUCUCCCUCACACACACACAACACUUUCGCUCUGGACACACUAGCUGUUGCCAAACACCAGCUGUUCUUCAUGGCUGCUGGGAGUUCUUCUUUUUGCCUGGAACACCCUCCCCUUUCAUCUCUGCCUGUUGAAAUCCUACUCAUCCAUCCAGGCCCCUCUGAAAUGUCACCUUUUUGGAGAACCCUUCCCCAGACACUGCCCCUGCAGAGUGCCCCAGUUCUUUCCUGGCAAGCCCAUCUUUCUGGUACUGGUUUAUGUAGUAGCAUCCCCCUCUCACACGCGCUAAGUCCUAUUCCAAGGUGGAGAGAAACAAAUUAGCACUUACUGAGCAGCUGUUAUAAAUUACUCUGUGGAGUCCUUUCUUCUCCUUGCAGCCCAGCCAGCCACUAGCCCACAACCUCCCUCCACCCUGCCAGAGUUUCAGAAGGCUGUCAGGGGCUCUGAGGCCUGCCCUCUGGUGUGUCCCUACUGCGUGCCUUGGCUUUUCUGGCUCUGUCCUGGGUAUGCUUCCCUGUGUCAACUCCCAAGGUCUGCAAGCUGGUGGCUUGACCUUCUCUCAGCCUUAUGUGAGGAAAGAAGGACAUUUCAUUAUCAGAAUCUGAGAAGUGGAAGGGGCCUCAGAGAUUAUCCAGUGUAAAGCCUGCCCACCCAUUUUACAGAGCAGAAAACUGUGACCAGAGAGAUAAGGUCAGAGGCAUCGGAGGUACCUACCAUUGUUAUUGUUGUUUUUAAUAGUGUUAAUACUUGCACGUUUAGAUCGCCUUUCACUUCUAAAUCAAUGCGUUGUCAUUCAUUUGCCCCUUACAGUCUCAGAGGUAUUACAGUGGUUAGUGCACAGACUCUGGAGGCCAAAGCCCUGGGUUUGAAUCUCAGUGCUCCAACUUGCCAGCUACGUCCUUGGCAAGUUACUGGAACUUUCUCCAUCAGUACAAUGUGGAUAGUAACAGCUCCUGCAUCAUGGGGUGUUCUAUGAAUCGAAAUAAAUGUGUAUCUUUAAAGGGCUUAGAAUAGUAGUAGGUUCAUUAAAAAUGCCAAAUGUAUUUGCUCUUAUCAAAUUUUUGUUAUUGUUAAUUGUAUCACUUCACAGUUGGAAUAACAGAGGCUCAGAAAGGCUGAGACUCAUCCAAAAAAUUGCUGCUUUGAGGAUGGUUUCUCACCAAACUCCAUGCAGUCAUCUUUGUCUCUGAUGCCAUUCUGCUUCCUGUUCCCUUGUGUCUGAGUCUAACCACCUAUUUAAUAGGGAAGAAAAGCAACUGUCCUUUAGCCCACCUCAGAACACCUAGACAUUUCAUGUUGCAAACAUUAACCACAUCUUCUGGCUUCUAUGGGGAUGUCUCUAAUUUGCUGGCGUUUUCUUUAACAGAACACCACGCCUCAUGGUGCCCUUCAGAAUCACAGAGCCAUCACAUUAACUGCUGCAAGUUCAGCUUGUACAUUCGUGCCUCUUUUACUCUUGGCCCGUGGCAGAAAAGCGACAGGGAAAAGAUGGUUCUUCCAAUGUAUGGAUGUAGGAAACUGAGGCACAGUUGAUACUCACUGAUUGGCCCCAGGCUAUGGAGCUAGCCUGGACCAUGGGAAGGAUGAGGAUCUCCACCUCCUCUUUCCCCAUGAUUACAUGAUUCAGUGUUGCAGGAGAAACCCAAACUCGUUUAUUCAAUGAGGAUUUAUUGAGCUCUCUCUAGGUGACGAAUAAGACCGAGGCAAGGCUGGCUUCCUGGGCAUAUGACCUAUGAAGUCACAUAGGCCAGAGGUCCCCAACCUUUUUGGAACCAGGAACCUGUUUCGUGGAAGACAAUUUUUCCAUGGACCAGGGGUGGGAGUGGGGGGUGGGAAUGGUUUCAGGAUAAAACUGUUCCACCUCAGAUCAUCAGGCAUUAGUUAGAUUCUCAUAAGGAGUGUGCAAACUAGAUCCCUCACAUGCACAGUUCUCAAUAGGGUUCACGGACCAGUACCCCAUUACCGGUUUGUGGCCUGGGGUUGGGGACCCCUGACAUAGGCCACUCACUUAGAAGGGCUUCAUACAGAGUUUAAUGCUGUCCUGCCACCUUCUUGAAAUCUUAACAAUUUUUGAACAAGGGGCCAUAUAAGUUGUAUUUUACACUGGACCAUUCAAGUUGUACAGCUGGUCUGGACCUAGGCUCUUCCCUAGGAGCUCUGUUUCACAGGGAAUCAGCCAGGGAGUUGACAACUGCAGUUCAGUACGAUGGGGGUUGUGACAGAAGCAGGGUAGCCGUGAAAGAAGAACAGGACCUUGGCCAGUAUUCAGCUCACUUGGGUCAUCCUCCCCAGCUGUGCAACCUGCCCAGCUGCCAAUGACUUACCACUGUGCUCCUUGGUGGGAGGAUGGCCUUGGUUUAGCACCAGGGCCUGUAGCCCCAGACAGCAGCUGCAAACCCUGCCACCCUAAGAGGCCACUGCUAGGUCAUGUCAACACCAGGAAAUGUGUGUCAUUGGAGCCCUAAGCUGUUCUCAUGUCCUCCAACCCAGGACUCAUGUCCCUGAUCUCAUGUCCCCGAUCACCAGACUGCCAGUGGACUCUACUUUCUGCUGCCUGCCCAGACCCAGUCAACUUCCAGAAAAGGGCACAUAAAGUGAUCCACACUGAAAAGCAAUUGGCAGACAAAACCUAAUGGGCUAUUCAUCCAAAGGAAACUUGGGUUUUAUUAGGGGUAUCUGGUGUCCUCCUGGCCUGCAUUCUGACAUAUAAUAAGCAUCUAAGUCAUGACAAUUGAGUGAACAUACAAAAGGUAAAUACAUAUGGCAAAGCCUAGAAUUGGAAUUGGCAGUUUGAAGGCCAUUGGCCCAAGAACAGGGUAUUUUCGGUUGUGUUCUCUUUUCUUUCUUUUUUUUGGAUGAGUGCUGGAAGCCCCAACACAAUUGUUUGGGAAUAAAUGGAAGUGAGGAAUGGAGAAGUAAGGAGGUACCACUCUCAAGGAGGCUGUCAGUAGAGGGGACAAAGAGUGUGAGAGAGGAACAGAAGAACCAAGCAGGAGACUGGAAGAGGGAUUUACAAAUCUGGAGUCCUUCCAAAACAGGACAAGUAAGACAUGAGCAGUGACUUUCUACUCUCCAUCCAGCAGCCAACAAUAGACUUCGUCAUUCAGAUGGAGCUGCAGAGGUACAGACCUGAGAGAGCUGGAAGUCAUAGAGCCAAUCCCAUGUAUUACUGACGAGGUAACUAUGGCUCAGGGUGACUUGACCUGUAAGCCACAAGCUUGUGGGUGACCACUCCAGGCCCUGAAUGGAGGAUUUCACUCCAUCCCCCUGCCCCACAAGUGGCCUCUGAGAGACAGAGUACCUGAUGCCACCUUAUGUGGGAUAUUGUUUUUGCUGUCACGAAUUUCUGAAUCCCCUCUUUGUGGAAUAGAGAAAUCAAAGCCACCAUACGUUCAAGGGUAUCCACUAAAGAAGCCACAUGGUUACUUCAGCUAAAAAUAAAUUAAAGACCUAACAAUGAAUUAUCAUUUAUCUAAUCAUCUGGGAAUGAUGAAAUUAAUGUUUCGUAUCUACUAUUUUACAGUUAUAAAUUGCUUAGAAAGUAUAGAUAUUUUUCCCUCAUAAUUCUGCUUUCCCAUGAGUGCACAUGCAUACACACAAGACCCAACCACAGUAUCUUGACCGUGAAUAUAAUAAAUAAGGAAAUAACAAAUGUAGUAAGGUGAAGGAGGGGGUUCUGUCAGCCCAAGAAUGUUCUAGGCCUAGUGUUUGGUGGAGCCAACCAGCUCCUACAAGCCAGCGAAAACAAAGAAAAGUGCCUGGCCAUUUCAUUACAGAGUGCUUCCCAAUAAUCUAAUUCCUCCACCAUCAAAAUUUGGUCAGGGAACAUCACCAUUUUUAGAGAGAUGCUUUGUUUUGAUAAAACAACCCUUCUGUAUUAGUCUCUUCUCAUGCUGCUGAUCAAGACUUACCUGAGACUGGGUAAUUUAUAAACGAAAAGAGGUUUAGUGGACUCACAGUUCCAUGUGGCUGGGGAGGCCUCACAAUCAUGGUGGAGGGCAAAAGGCACGUCUUAUAUGGUGGCAGACAAGAGAGAGCUUGGGCAGGGAAACUCCCCUUUAUCAAACCAUCAAAUCUCGUGAGACUUAUUCACUAUCACAAGAACAGCACAGGAAAGACCCACCCCUAUGAUUCAAUUACCUCCCACCAGGUCCCUCCCAUGACAAAUGGGAAUUGUGGGAGCUACAAUUCAAGAGGAGAUUUGAGUGGGGACACAGCCAAACUAUAUCACCUUCUAAGCUUAUGUCUCACUAUUCACCCACAAAUAGGCUGUAAAGAGCCCAGCAUUUGCUUUCUAGCAAUGGUGUCAUACCAGCUUUGCUUUCCCUGCCUGCAGGGCCCUCCAUGCAUCUCUGUUUAAAGUCUAAAGCCAGAUCCAGCUUUCAUGCUGCCUACUGCAGAAAGACACCUCUGGUGUUUCUCAACCAGAGGAGCCUCCCCACCUCUCAAUUCCGGACCACUUCUCUUAAAAACAUGACCAAUGAUGCCAAAAGUCUAAUUUAUGUGUAGAGUUGGUGUUGCAGAGUAGAAGGGGAUUGAGAGGUUGAGACUAAAUAACUACUCAGCUUUGAACAUGUCAGGAAGUUUAUCUGUUCUUCGGCUUCCUAAUCUGUAAAAUGUAGUUAGGGACAGGAUCUACCUGAUGAGGUUGUUGUGAGACGUAAAUGAAAUAAUUCACAUAAAAAGCAACUAGUACAGUGCCUGGUACAUAGUCAAGGCUUACAGUGUCAG
Molecule: long non-coding RNA, 5871 nt
Filed under: Homo sapiens (human)
Lineage: Eukaryota; Metazoa; Chordata; Mammalia; Primates; Hominidae
Description: HSALNT0366210
Source: RNAcentral